AGAAACCUAGGACAGAUCCUCCGGCUCUAGGUGGGUGGUCGUCUGUCUCGACCAGUUGGGGUGAGAGAGAGAGAGAGAGAGAGAGAGAGAGAGAGAGAGAGAGAGAGAGCGACAGACAGACAGACAGGUGCACAGCAACAACAGUAUUGGCAAUGGCAGUCAAGCAGGACCAUGGCAGGAGGCUCCACCAGGAUCCAUGAGAACCUGCGAGACGAGAAAGCACAAGAACUCCGGGGAAGAAGUGGAGUUAGUAACAUGCAUUAAAGGGACAUGAAUGAGUGCAGAAAGAGAGAGGAAGAGAGUAGCUCAGUGCACCAUGGGAAAUCCCCCGAUAGUCUAGGCCUAUAGCAGCAUAACUAAGGGAUGGUUCAGGACUCACCUGAUCCAGCCCUAACUAUAAGCUUUAUCAAAGAGGAAUGUCUUAAGCCUACUCUUGAAUGUGGUGAGGGUGUCUGCCUCCCGAACCACAACUGGAAGCUGGUUCCACAGGAGAGGAGCUUGGUAACUGAAGGCUCUGGCUCCUGUUCUACUUUUAGAGACUAUAGGAACCACAAGUAGCCCAGCAUUCAAUUCAAUUCAAUUCAAUUCAAUUUUAUUUGUAUAGCGCCAAUUCAUAACAGAAGUUAUCUCAGGACACUUUUCAAAUAGAGCAGGUCUAGACCGAACUCUUUAACAUUAAUUACAGAGACCCAACAGUACCACCAUGAGCAAGCACUUGGCGACAAGGGCAAGGAAAAACUGCCUGUUAAAAGGCAGAAACCUAGGACAGAUCCUCCGGCUCUAGGUGGGUGGUCGUCUGUCUCGACCAGUUGGGGUGAGAGAGAGAGAGAGAGAGAGAGAGAGCGACAGACAGACAGACAGACGCACAGCAACAACAGUAUUGGCAAUGGCAGUCAAGCAGGACCAUGGCAGGAGGCUCCACCAGGAUCCACGAGAACCUGCGAGACGAGAAAGCACAAGAACUCCGGGGAAGAAGUGGAGUUAGUAACAUGCAUUAAAGGGACAUGAAUGAGUGCAGAAAGAGAGAGGAAGAGAGUAGCUCAGUGCACCAUGGGAAAUCCCCCGAUAGUCUAGGCCUAUAGCAGCAUAACUAAGGGAUGGUUCAGGACUCACCUGAUCCAGCCCUAACUAUAAGCUUUAUCAAAGAGGAAUGUCUUAAGCCUACUCUUGAAUGUGGUGAGGGUGUCUGCCUCCCGAACCACAACUGGAAGCUGGUUCCACAGGAGAGGAGCUUGGUAACUGAAGGCUCUGGCUCCUGUUCUACUUUUAGAGACUAUAGGAACCACAAGUAGCCCAGCAUUCAGAGAACGUAGUGUUCUAGUGGGGUAAUAGGGUACUAUGAGCUCUUUAAGAUAUGAAGGGGCCUGACCAUGAAGAGCUUUAUAGGUGAGGAGGAGGAUUUUAAAUUCAAUUCUACAUUUUAUAGGGAGCCAAUGCAGAGUAGCUAGUACAGGAGAGAUGUGAUCUCUUUUUCUAGUUCCUGUCAGUACUCGUGCUGCAGCGUUCUGAAUUAAUUGGAGCGUUUUAAUGGACUUAUUGGGGCAACCUGAUAAUAAAGAGUUGCAGUAAUCCAGCCUUGAAGUAACAAAUGCAUGGAUUAGUUUUUCUGCAUCUGUCUGUGAUAGUAUGUGUCUAAUUUUUCUAAUAUUACGUAAAUGAAAGAAGGCAGUCCUAGAGGUCUGCUUUAUGUGGGAGUUAAAUGACAAAUCCUGAUCAAAGAUAACUCCAAGAUUCCUGACAGUGGUGCUAGAGGCCAAGUUAAUGCCAUCUAGAGUGACUAUAUCUUUAGACAAUGAGUCUCUAAGGUUUUUGGGGCCAAGAACAAGAAUUUCGGUUUUUUCUGAGUUUAACAUCAGAAAAUUGCAGGUCAUCCAGGAUUUUAUGUCCUUAAGACAUGUUUGUAAUUUAGAUAAUUGAUUAAUUUCAUUGGGUUUGAUUGAUAGAUAUAACUGCGUAUCAUCUGCAUAACAGUGAAAGUUAAUGGAGUGAUUCCUAAUAAUGUUGCCUAAAGGGAGCAUAUAUAAAGUAAAUAGUAUUGGUCCAAGUACAGAACCUUGUGGAACUCCAUGACUAACUUUAGUAUUUAUGGAGGAUUCAUCGUUAACAUGUACAAACUGAGAACGAUCUGAUAAGUAUGACUUAAACCAGGUUAGGGCAGUUCCUUUAAUGCCAAUUUGAUGCUCAAGUCUCUGUAAAAGAAUAUCAUGGUCAAUGGUGUCAAAUGCAGCACUAAGAUCUAAUAAUACAAGUACAGAGACAAGUCCAUUGUCAGAAGCAGUCAGAAGGUCAUUAUUAACUUUAACCAGAGCUGUCUCUGUGCUAUGAUGAACUCUAAAUCCUGACUGAAAAUCCUCAAAUAAACUAUUGUUAUGUAGAAAGUCACACAACUCUUUGGCGACUACUUUCUCCAGAAUCUUAGAGAGGAAGGGGAGGUUAGAAAUCGGUCUAUAGUUGGCUAAAACCCCUGGGUCAAGAGUGGACUUUUUAAGAAGGGGUUUAAUUACAGCUACUUUAAAGGACUGUGGUACAUAUCCUGAUAAUAAAGAAAGAUUAAUCAUAUCCAGUAAAGAAGUGCCAAUUAAGGGAACAACUUCUUUAAGCAGCCUAGUUGGGAUCGGGUCUAAUAGACAGGUUGAUGGCUUCGAUGAAGAAAUGAUUGAAGUUAACUGAUGAAGAUCGAUAGCAGAAAAACAGUCUAAAUAUACAUCUAAGUUUACAUUGACAGAAGUCCCUGAACUUGGAGAGCCACUGAUAACUGUUGAUGGCAGUUGGUGAUUAAUUUUUUCUCUAAUAGUAAUAAUUUUAUUAUAGAAGAAGCUCAUGAAGUCAUUGCUACUUAAGUUUAUGGGGAUAUGUGGCUCGAUAGAGCUGUGACUCUCUGUCAGCCUGGCUACAGUGCUGAAGAGGAACCUAGGGUUGUUCUUAUUUUCUUCUAUUAGUGCUGAGUAAUAGGCUCCUCUGGCAUUACGGAGGGCCUUUCUAUAAAUCUUAAGAUCAUCUUGCCAAUUUGAGCGAUAUUCUGAUAAUUUGGAAGAGCGCCAUUUCCUUUCAGAUUUCCUAGCUAUUUGCUUUAACUGGCGGGUUUGGUGGUUAUACCAAGGUGCUAGUCUCCUAUGUUUUAAUAAUUUCCUUUUUAUAGGAGCGAUAGAGUCUAAUGUUGAUCGUAGUGAGCCUGUAGCACUAUCGACAAGAUUAUCAAUUUCAGAGGGACUAAAGUUGUUAUAGGACUCUGUUAAAUUCAGACAUGGCAUUGAAUUAAACACUGAAGGAAUCUCCUCCUUAAAUUUAGCUACAGCACUGUCAGAUAGACAUCUGCUGUAGGAAGUUUUGCCUAAUGGCUUAUAAUCUAAUAGUAUGAAUUCAAAAGUUACUAAAUAAUGGUCAGAUAGGAAAGGAUUAUGUGGGAAGACUAUUAAAUGUUCAAAAUCAAUGCCAUAUGAUAAAACAAGGUCAAGAGUGUGAUUAAAACAAUGAGUUGGUUUAUUUACACUCUGACAGAAGCCAAUUGAGUCUAUUUCUAGAGUUACAUGUUGUUAUGAACACGUUAGGAAUUGUUCAAAUGUGAUAUUUCUGAUAGGGAGUUGGGUGGUUUUCUCUGGCUUAGAAAUAUUAUUAUCAUAUGUAUGAAUAUGUAUUUGUUUAUUUGUGUAAUUAAAAUUUGUAUGCUCCAACCACCUAGAAUUCUGAAGAAAAUACAAUAAAGAUAAAUUUCUUGUACAGCUUGGGGUACAAUGUAUUUUAUACACUGGAGAUCAAAAUUGAAGAACAAUUUAUGAACACAGAAAUAAUGUAAACUUCAUUGCUCAACAUUUAAAGGAUUUUUUGUUGUGGCUAUACCAUGCUACUAGAACAGUGUUUUAACGUCUAGCGUUAAUCUCGCGAUAAAAAAAUUGACGGCGUUAAAAUGGGUUUGCGUUAACGCCAGACAAGAAUAAACCACAAUGAUCCUUUAAACCUUCAGUGAAGGAACUCACCGCCUUAGUUUUUAGGUGUGUACAUUAUUUAUGCCAUGGUCUUCAUAUUGACUUGUGUUUUACAUUGUAUUGUGUCUAUUACAUUCACUUUGAACCUGGGCUGCAGGUUCGAAUGAAAGCUGCUGUAUACAAAGAAUUCUAGUUGUCUGAUAUGAUGAUAAAACAUAUUUCUUAUUAUUUGAACAAACUUUAUGAAGAUGUUGCAGAUUUAACUCUCCAACAACAUCAUUGUUAUAUAUGCCAGACAACAUACAUUCAACAGUAGGGUUAUUAUGGUAUGGAUGGAGGCGAAGGUACUGAACAUAAACAUAAAAUGUCAGAUAUAUUUAUAUAAAUAUAAAACAUUCACAUUUCAUAAUGAACAUACAAAUACAGUUUCUCCGUCAGUGGCUCACUUUAUCCACAGGUUGUAACAGGGAAAUAUUACUGGGUGUUUGUGUCUCUGCCAUCACUGCUGCUGUCGCUGCUUUCUGCUCUUUAACUGCACACAGACACACACACACAGUUCAGAGAGGACUGGGAACUGUCAGUGAUCAACAGAAUAAAGGUGACCUGAUGAAGCUCAGGUGUUCCUGGACCCAUCAGAGGACAGAGACAGCUGCAGCAUCAGGACAGUCUGGGUAUCCAAAGGAAGACUGAUGAAGAUGAACACUGACUGCAGAGCUCCAUUACCAGCUCACACUUCAAUAUACUAGAAACCAUAAACCUUGAUGGAGGACAUGAUCUGCACAGUUUACAUAAAAGUUCUAGCUUUGUUACUUACAACAUAUGUAACUGGAAUAUGA
Long non-coding RNA from Dicentrarchus labrax (European seabass), 4759 nucleotides. RefSeq lists it as uncharacterized. Lineage: Eukaryota; Metazoa; Chordata; Actinopteri; Moronidae. The record is from RefSeq and is a predicted model, not a curated record. The transcript has 4 exons.